GGAUUAGUGCGCUGGUCAUGCCUUCGGUAUGUACUGGUGUUACUGAUUUCUACCUUCUGAAGAACUGUAAUGCCAUUAAUUUGGUGUUGCAGGGAAUCAGGACUGUUACUUUGAAAAAAUUAGAGUGUUUAAAGCAGGCUUUAGCUUGAAUACAUUAGCAUGGAAUAAUGAAAUAGGACGUUUGAUCCUAUUUUGUUGGUUUCUAGGAUUGACGUA
This 216-nucleotide ribosomal RNA is filed under the name Campeiostachys nutans. RNAcentral describes it as "Elymus nutans partial small subunit ribosomal RNA". The stretch from base 43 to 216 matches the Rfam family "Eukaryotic small subunit ribosomal RNA", at positions 689 to 864 of the family's 1831-position model. The record is from RNAcentral. Lineage: Eukaryota; Viridiplantae; Streptophyta; Magnoliopsida; Poales; Poaceae.